GAACUGAAUAUCUGAGAGACACCAUGAUCAGGCAAGUUGUUUUUCCAGGGCGAGGCUCAUCCCCCGCACUCCAGGUGUGCUGACCCCUGCAAUUUCCCCAAAUGUGGGAAACUCAACUGCAUAAUUUGUGGUUGUGGGGUCUGCUUUCAUGCUCUCCCCUG
RNAcentral lists this small nuclear RNA (161 nucleotides) under Cairina moschata (Muscovy duck). RNAcentral's name for it is "domestica (muscovy Duck (domestic type)) U1 spliceosomal RNA (ENSCMMG00000002719.1)". It matches the Rfam family "U1 spliceosomal RNA". From Rfam's summary of the family: U1 is a small nuclear RNA (snRNA) component of the spliceosome (involved in pre-mRNA splicing). Its 5' end forms complementary base pairs with the 5' splice junction, thus defining the 5' donor site of an intron. There are significant differences in sequence and secondary structure between metazoan and yeast U1 snRNAs, the latter being much longer (568 nucleotides as compared to 164 nucleotides in human). The record is from RNAcentral. Lineage: Eukaryota; Metazoa; Chordata; Aves; Anseriformes; Anatidae.